Molecule: ribosomal RNA, 253 nt
Filed under: uncultured bacterium
Lineage: Bacteria
Description: partial 16S ribosomal RNA
Rfam family: Bacterial small subunit ribosomal RNA
Source: RNAcentral
UACGGAGGGUGCAAGCGUUAUCCGGAUUCACUGGGUUUAAAGGGUGCGUAGGUGGGCAGGCAAGUCAGUGGUGAAAUCUCCGGGCUUAACCCGGAAACUGCCAUUGAUACUAUCUGUCUUGAAUACCGUGGAGGUGAGCGGAAUAUGUCAUGUAGCGGUGAAAUGCUUAGAUAUGACAUAGAACACCAAUUGCGAAGGCAGCUCACUACACGAAUAUUGACACUGAGGCACGAAAGCGUGGGGAUCAAACAGG